UACGAAGGGGGCUAGCGUUGCUCGGAAUCACUGGGCGUAAAGGGUGCGUAGGCGGGUCUUUAAGUCAGGGGUGAAAUCCUGGAGUUCAACUCCAGAACUGCCUUUGAUACUGAGGAUCUUGAGUUCGGGAGAGGUGAGUGGAACUGCGAGUGUAGAGGUGAAAUUCGUAGAUAUUCGCAAGAACACCAGUGGCGAAGGCGGCUCACUGGCCCGAUACUGACGCUGAGGCACGAAAGCGUGGGGAGCAAACAGG
This 253-nucleotide ribosomal RNA is filed under the name uncultured bacterium. Its description in RNAcentral is "partial 16S ribosomal RNA". It matches the Rfam family "Bacterial small subunit ribosomal RNA", at positions 524 to 776 of the family's 1533-position model. The record is from RNAcentral.